UUUUUUAACCAAUUCUGCCACUCUGUGUCUUUUGAUUGGAUAACUUAGUCCAUUUACUUCUAAAGUAAUUAUUGAUAAAUAUGUACUUACUGCUAAUUUUGUUAAUUGUUUUCUGACUGUUUUGUCUUUCUUAGUUCAUUUCUUUCUCUAGCUCUCUUCCUUUGUGCUUUGAUAAUUUUCUAAAGUAAUACACUUAAAUUCCUUUCUCUUUACCCUUUGUGUAUCCACUAUAGUUUUUACUCUGUGGCCACCAUGAAGCUUACAUAUAACAACUUUUAGCAGUGUUUUAAGUUUAUAAAAUCUUCAGUUUGAAUGCAUUCCAAAGCUCUACAUUUUCACUCCCCUCCCCGACAUUUUACAUUUUUGAUGUGCAUUUUACAUAUUUUUAUCUUGUGUAUCCCUUAAUUAUUGUAGUUUUAGUUAUUUUUUAUUACUUUUAACUUUCAUACCAGCUUUAUAAGUGAUUAAUCCAUCCCUUUACAACAUUGGGUUAUUCUGAAUUUACUGUAUAUUUUACUUUACCAGUGAGAUUUGUACUUUCAUGUUUUCUUGUUACUGAUUACAGCAUCCUUUUUUAUAAGGCUGGUUUAGUGCUGAUGAACUCCUUUAGAUUUUGCUUGUCAGGAAAACUUUUUCUCUCCUUCAAUUCUGAAUGACAACUUUGCUGGGAAGAGUAUUGGUUGGAAGUUUUUUCUUUCGGCACUUUGCAGGUCAGAAGGGAGUGGCAAUGAUACAUUCAAAGUUUCUGCUGAAAAUCUACUGAUAGUCUUAUGGGGGAUCCCUUGUAUAUAAAAAGUUAUUUUUCUCUUGCUAUAGGUUCAGUUUCUCCUUUAAUGUUUGACAUUUUAAUUGUAAUGUGUCUUUGGUAUGGGUGUCUUUCAGUUUUUAUUUGGAAUUCUCUAGGCUUCCUGGAUCUGGAUGUCUGUUUCCUCCCCCAGGUUAGUGAAGGUUUAGAGAUUAUUUCUUCAAAUAAUCUCUUUGUCCCUCUCUCUCUUCUCCUUCUGGGACUUGUAUAAUGCAAAUGUUGGUCUCUGUGAUGUCCCAGAAAGCCUUUCAGCUAUCUUUACUAUUUUUCCCAUUUUUCUUAUUACUACUUUGAUUGGGUGAGUCCCAUUGCUCUGUCUUUGAGUUCACUGAUCCUUUCUUCUGCUUCAUCUAGUCUGCUGUUGAAUCCCUCUAAUGUAUUUUUCAGUUCAGUUAUCGUAUUCUUGAGCUCUGUGACUUCUAUUUGUUACUUUCUUGUAUUUUCCCUUUUUGUUGAAGUUCUGUGUUCAUCCAUUCCUCUCCUGAGUUUGGUGAGCAUUGUUACGACUUAUUUUGAACUCUUCAUCAGGUAAGUCAUUUAUGUCAUUAAGAUUUUUUCCUGAGGUUUUAUCUUAUUCUUUCAUUUGGAACAUAUUCCUAUGGUAAUUUUCCUUGAGUCUGUGUUGGUUUUUAUGCGCUAGAUAAAACUACCACCUCUCCCAGUUUGAAGGAAUGGCCUCGUGUAGAUGAACCUUACGGUUCCACCCUGCCCUAGCUCUUAGUUGUCUCUCCAACUUUGUGACUGUCCAGCCUAUUUUUAGUGGUUCACAGUAGCUGCUUUCUGGGUGUGCCAAGACCUGUCAAUGUCCCAAGAGGGAGGAUCUCAUUGCCUAGAUUCAGGCUGAAUGGAAGCCAGUCCCUCAGGUAGCAGCUUUUAAAAUAUGCAAAUAUAUAUAGUCUUGCAGGACUGGAAGCAUCAGUCCUGCUGGCUGCCAGAGCCAGGCAAUUGAGAAGUAUCCCCUGGGUAGCAGUUACAAAAAUUGGUCCUCUAUGUGAGGAUACAAACUCCUUUCUAGGAAAUUCUGGUGGCCUAGAAUGAGGUGGAGGGACAGCACAAAGACAGUGAGCACCAGCUUAAGAUCCCUAAGGGUACAUCUGUAGGCCCCUAGAUGUGUGCCAAGCCUGAAGCCUGUCCCUCAAGACCAAAGCUCUUGGUCUUGACAGGACAAGCAAAUAGGCCUCUUACACAGAAAGACUGGGGAUAUGUUUUAGUCUGCUGUCUGUACAGUACUCUGUGGAUGGUAGCCAGCUAAGAACUACAUCUCUGAUUGCUACAGUUCUGUGAGACCCAGUAAUGCAACCAUGCUGGCCAACAGAGCCUGGUGAUCAAGCAGCAUCACCUGGGCGGCAGCCACAAAAACUGGGGCACGAGACACCUGUAAAGUCUCCCCUCUGGGAGAUACUGGCACUCUAAAUAGUUGCAGAGAGCGUGUGCAAACAGUGCUCACCCUCUGAAGUCUCUGGAAAGGAUCACAGUUGGCCUUAGAUGUGUAUUUAAUCAGAAGCCUGCCCCUCCCUCAGGCUGCGGCUAUGCAGGUAAGCUAUGAGUUUCUUUUAAGAGACUGUGCUCCUUGAACUGUUCCAUCUUGCAGGGCCCUGGGGGAGGUAGCCAGAUAGAACUUUAUUCACUGGUUACAGUUCUUUGGGACUCAUGAGCGUAAGCCCACUGGUUCCUAGAGUCAGUUUGAUCUAGAGGUGUCUCCCUGCAGGAGCUGCAAAAAUUGAGGUGGGUGGGCAGUGGAGGGUUCAAGCUCCUUUCUGGGAUAUACCAGCUAGUUGGAGCAGGGCAGAGAAGGGUGCAAAGAUGGCACCAUCCAUCCUGAAAAGUAUUUCAGAAGAUCCCUGCAUGCGUCUAUGGAUAGGGUAAGUCAUUAAGGUUCUUUCACGGAAAGUCUAGGUGCUUUUCAGUCAGCUGCCGUUGUACUGGGCUUUGGGGUGGGCAGAUAAGUAUGAGCUCACAAGCCCUUUAAGAACAGUUUCUCAGUUUGCUAUAGCUGUAUGGGUCUUCAUGGACACAAGCUCCAUUGGCUUUCAAAGCCAGGUGUUUUGGGGCUCAUUUCUUGGAGGGUCUUAAAGGCUGUGGUGCUGAUAAUGGGGUUCAAACUUUUUGCUCCUCAAGGAGAAGCUGCUCCUCAAGGAGAAGCUCUGGGUUUUGAGUUCCCUCUUGUUGGUGGGUUGCUCUAUUAGGUGUGGAAUUUAUGGUGAGACUGUCCCAGCUUCUUGUACCCUCUUAAAUGUGGGCUUUCUCUCAUUUGCUAGAUGAGUAGGAGUCACUCAGCUAAUCUGGGUUUUCUUUUUUUCCCUAGAGGAAGUUGUUCCAUAUACAGCUGUAGAUCUGAUGUCUGUGGGACAAGGUUGCUGAGUAUUCUCUGAGCUUUGAUUUUCUAAUCUGAAAAAUGGAACUGCCUGGGAAGACAGAAACAGUGCACUCAUACAUAGGCCUUGGCAUCAUACGAAGCGUAAGCUUACUAUACUUCGAAAGCAUUUGAGGCACCGGAAUGGUCUAGAGAUAGAUUUUCUUUUCAGUGAGGAUUACAAGGAACACUCAUCAGGGAUUUUUCCCAUCUACAAAGAUGAUCCGAAGCCUGACCCAACAGGAUGCAAACUCACUCAGAAUCUCAGAGGACAGCACUAAGCAAGCUUUGAAGCUACAUCAAAAGGAAAGGAAGCAGAGCUGACUUCACUAAGGCUACUUCAUCUCCAAUGAGCAAAUGAGGCACUUGUUCUUCACCAGAAGAGAUGGGGAUCUGGUUUAGGGAAAUCUGUCUUUUGAUGUGCCGUGGUCUCCUGGGUAAUGUAUAAUUUGGUACUGCACAGAAAGUUAAUCAGGGAAGUCUGGAAAAGCUUUGGUUCCACCAGUCUUGCCUCAGAACAUGUAAAUAAUUACAACAAUAUUGAUGCUGGGUUUUUCUAUUACUAGCGUGAAAAUGACAAGUCUUUACUGGUGUGAAUGGGAAGAAAACAAUGCUAUUCCAUAACAGAUGGGUGAAUUUGGGGGAGCAGGCAGAAGCUCAAACCCUGAGUCAUUCCAUAAAAUAAACUGGAGGUUAAAUAAUAGGUAGUAUUUACAGCCUGUGUCAGGAAAAAUUUCAAGGAGGAGAAAAUCAACUAUCAGGAAAGCUAAAGAAUUUUAAAAAUCUAAUAAUUGGAAUAUAUACACAACACACAUUAUUGCACUUUCAAUUCUAAUAAGGCAACAACAGUAUUAAGCUCCUUCACUGGGUGUAAAAUACUUCCACAUACAGUGUUUAAUUGUUUCAGAUAUUCUGUCAUCUCCCUAACUUGUCAGCCUCAUCUCUUCUGAAACGCAAGGUCCCUGUCCCUACUCUUCCAACACUUGGGUCUAUUUUUACGUACUCUAAGCAGGACUUCUGUUUCCUUUCUUCCUGCUGUUGCUACUGAGAAAACAAAUAUUUUAAGAUAUGAUGCUUACCUGAGUGUCAGGGGGUGGACCUGCAGCCUGGGUGGUUGGAGCUGGGGUUUGGGAAACUACUUCAGAGACGGCAGCUGAAAGUUUAGCAUCUUCAAACUGCUUUUAUGAAAAAAUAAUAAAAAGGUUCUGAUCAGUAAUACGUUGUAUACAAGUUGUGCCACAGCGCUGCCACUUAAAUACAACUCUCACUAGAGCUUAAUGCUGCUACUCUCUCGAUCCAGACGGAAGCACAGCAACAUAGCGUCUUAAGCGCCAUUUUUAUUCCACUUCCUACUCCACAGCGGUAUUUUACACAAUCUCCUAUUCACAUUAUUCUAAAAGGGGUUCAGAAAGCUAGUGCCUUUGAGUUUCAUGGUUUGCUCACACACUUCUGGUCGUACAUUUAGGUGGUUUGCUUUCUUUGUAAUUUGUUGCCUUAAGUUCUAGAAGUGGCGCUUUUUACAGUCCAGCUCUACUCUGCCAGCUGCCCUCCCCAAAGCUGCUAGAAAGUCAUUCCACCAAAAGCAAUAAAUGGGCACGCCCGUUUCCCACAGCCCUGCUUGCCUGAAUUAGGUAUUUAUCGCCUAUUUUUAACUUGGAUAAUGUACUGGGUAUAAAGUGGUGUGCUCCUGUUGCUUUAAUACUUGCUAUCUGGUGUGAGGUUUCAGUUUUAUCAUUUUUUCUUAAUGUUAAAUAGUAUAUUUCAGAAUCUUUCUGAAAUAAUGACUCCUUUUCUCAUUGUAAAGAUUUAAUCUGUCAUUUAUGUUCAUUUCUGGAUUUUUUUUCCCCACUGACCUGUGGCUUUGCUUUCUGAAUCAGAACUAUAUUUUUAUCAUUACUGUAUAAUAAAUUCUGGUGUUUAGUUGGGUUAAUCUUUUUAAUGCUUUUCAGUAUUUUUUAAAAUAUUUUUAUGCACUUAUUUUUCAAAUAUAUUGGACAACUCAAUUUUAAAUUCUCUUUUCAUAGGUGUACUUAAUAAGAGUGUGUGCUCACUGGUUCAAUUAGUUACACUACUGAUAACAUCCACUGUGGUGGACGGGUAUGUCAUGAUAGAGCACAUUUUUAAUGGCUGUGAUGAGUUGAGGGCCAUUAAUUUUGUGACUGUUUCCUCAACUCCCAUGUCAGAUUUUAAGUUACAAGUUUCUGCUACCCUAAAAGUAAAGAAAUAAAAUCAGAGGACUUACAAGAGAUGAAGUGUUUGGGGGACCGGUGAAGUCCUUAGACAAAGCAUCAAGGAGAAAGUCUUCACUCAAGGGCUGUAAGAACCAGGAAAUAUGUCAACAAACAACACCUCAUUUGUCUCCCCUUCAAAAUGAUGUCACUGUUUAUAUGCUCAUCAGCUCAUUAAACAGAAAGCUAUGCCUUCCUGCAUUCGCAGUCAGGGCCAAAGGAGAAAGAGACACUCAGAGAAAACUGGCUUGCUUACUGGAAGCGGUUCCUUGGGCUCUUUUGGCAGGAGUGGUUUUCCAUCUUUAUCCUAUGCGGGGGGGAGAAAAGCACGGCAGAGUCAUUUUGCAUGUAUCCUAAGUAUGCAGCCUUGUAAACAUUCUCAGAGGUUGACAGGUGAUACCUGAUGAUGUACACUGUAAAUUAAGAUUCACCAUUUCAGGAAACAGAUUCUCUCACCAGGAAAUAUGCUCUGAUUAACUCAUGUCAACAAACAGUUCGCAUACCUCAGGCAUUCCCUAGGCACAGGGGCUACAAAUGGAUCGAGGGUGGCUUGCUAACCUCAGAAGCCCGGGGACCAGGGUGGAGGGGGGGGAGAAUCACAUGAACAGCUAAUGUAGCGUUGGACACGUGGGGCUGUGACAGUGGACACAGGACACCGAGGGGGCACAAGGAUGUGCCCCUCCCCUGACGGAGUGGGGUGGGCUUUGCACAGGUUGUCUGGAAAAGCUGGUUAACAUUAUAGGCGGCACAUCCAAGCCCUGAGGUGAGCACUGGGAAUCCCCCAGAAAGCAGGCUAGACAAAGUCCUACCCUCAGGGAGCUCACCCGGUGGGCGGGAUGUCAAACCUUAGGACUCAGGUGAUGCCAAGCUUCAAAUGACUCUAAGUGCCACGUCUAAGUAACAGGAUAAAAUCCAUAAAGCCUUUGGGACUCUUUAGUAAAGAAAAUGUAUAAAUACAUGGUCAAUCCCAUUCACACACACAUAUAAAAGUAAAUAA
Long non-coding RNA from Camelus dromedarius (Arabian camel), 6383 nucleotides. RefSeq lists it as uncharacterized. The record is from RefSeq and is a predicted model, not a curated record. The transcript is spliced from 4 exons. NCBI's taxonomy places the organism in Eukaryota, Metazoa, Chordata, Mammalia, Artiodactyla, Camelidae.